AUACUUACCUGGCUGGGGAGACACCAUGAUCACGAAGGUGGUUUUCCCAGGUCGAGUCUUAUCCAUUACACUCCCGAUGUACCGACCCCUGCAAUUUCCCCAAAUGUGGGAAAUUUGCGUAAUUUGUGGUAGUGGGGACUGCAUUCACGUCCCGCUCCCUG
Molecule: small nuclear RNA, 161 nt
Filed under: Carlito syrichta (Philippine tarsier)
Lineage: Eukaryota; Metazoa; Chordata; Mammalia; Primates; Tarsiidae
Description: U1 spliceosomal RNA (ENSTSYG00000022510.2)
Rfam family: U1 spliceosomal RNA
About the family: U1 is a small nuclear RNA (snRNA) component of the spliceosome (involved in pre-mRNA splicing).
Source: Rfam by way of RNAcentral